This 4640-nucleotide long non-coding RNA is filed under the name Nilaparvata lugens (brown planthopper). RNAcentral describes it as "uncharacterized LOC120352421". Lineage: Eukaryota; Metazoa; Arthropoda; Insecta; Hemiptera; Delphacidae. The record is from RNAcentral.
AAGAAGAAGAAAGAAGAAGAAGAAGAAGAAGAAGAAGAAGAAGAAGAAGAAGAAGAAGAAGAAGAAGAAGAAGAAGAAGAAGAAGAAGAAGAAGAGAAAUUCACCCUUCCUCACAUCACCCAGUCAGAAGAAAGAAAGUAAUAAUAAUCUCAUACUUUAUCACCCCGAUAAAAAAAAUCCAAAAAAUAAAAGCUCUAUGAAACAAUGUUUCAAAUAAUAGGUGAAUAUUUAUAUUUCAAUUAUAAGUGAAGGAAUUUCUAAUUCAUAACUCAUUAGCAAACAGCAGUCCAAUAUAAUUUCGAUUUGUAAGUAUAAUAUUCGAAACUUUUUACAACGUAUACUUUAUCACCCCGAUAAAAAAAAUACAAAAAAUAAAAGCUCUAUGAAACAAUGUUUCAAGUAAUAGGUGAAUAUUUAUAUUUCAAUUAUAAGUGAAGGAAUUUCUAAUUCAUAACUCAUUAGCAAACAGCAGUACAAUAUAAUUUCGAUUUGUAAGUAUAAUAUUCGAAACUUUUUACAACGUAUGGUUAUGUCAGAAAUCGACCACAAACUUUCAACAACAUUAUAAGGAAUAUAAUAUUCAUACAUCAUUUGCAACUUAUUAUGCAUAUUUUUGCAAGAGCUAUUCAGUUACAAAGUACCAACCAUCCCAUUCACUUUUUUUAGAAAACUCCAUUUCACAAAUAAAUAACAGAUUAUGACAACAUGUAUUUUAAUUCUCAACUUUAUUCAACUUGAAUUUCAUUGGAGUAGCCUAAUCCACUACCAACCCACUUCUCGUUACAAGACUUCACUUCAUCCAGCACCAUAAGUCAUUGCACGAAAUAUGAGACCAAUGUAAUCCGAAACUGUAUCCAUUGCAACCAAUCCCAACCACGAAUACAUUUCGACCUGACGUUUUAGUGGGUGCAUACUCACUAUGAAAUACAUUGGCACUGACCAACACACUAACCUGUCAUAGAUAAAUAUAUGUGACCGUUGGGGGGGUGUCCAGAGGGGGUUGAUGGAGAUAGAUAGAGAGAGAAAGACUGAUUGAGAAAGAGAGAGAGAGUGUAAGAGAGAGAAAGGCGUUAUCGCAGCCAAGAUCAGACAGACUCCUGGACUAUAGACAACAAUGGCUCACUUCACUUGCCUUUCCCUGAUCCCGGCCGAGUGAGUUUGAACAGUCCCAUAUUUCAGGGGCAAAUAUUUGCAUCGGACACAUGCACUGAUUCUGAUGUGUACGAGUCCAGCUUCAAGCAUUAUUUCAGCUACUGUCACACUCUUUCCAAAACGGCUUCAUACUAUUUAAAUCCAGAAUCUGGACCAACUCACAAGAAUGGAAUUGCGGAACAGUUCUCCCAAAGUCAACUUAGAAACUGAAAAAUCAACUCAGCCUAAAGGUGACCUGUCACACUUGUUAUGAAACCAUCGGAAAUUCUUUGAUGAUGCUGUACACUUAAGAGAAGAAAGGGGAACACCUUUUGCCCCAAGGCCAGAAUAUUAUAGCAUUCAAAGGUGAAUUUCCAGCCGAAAGCAAAACUAUUGAGAAGAGGAUGGGUGUAAUGCGGGGGACAAUAAGGGAAGAAGGAGAGGAUUAGUGGUAGACAAACUCCGCAAAAGGGGUUGAAGAAUUAAAACCACAAAGGCAAGAAAUAACCCACCACAUGAUGUCAACCACCUAAAAAAUACUGCAGACUACACCGGUUGUUUCAAAUGCUUCAACAUAUUUUCCAGUUCCUCCUUUCUUUCGUAUUCAUAUCAUUCUUCUUGAAUAAUUUUCCAUGGAAUUUCAUGCACUUACUGCUUAUUCCUUCUUCUUCUUGUUCUGUUUAUCAAAAUAAGAUUUUCGCCUUUUUCUUGUUUUGUCGUGUUUCACUUCUCAGCCCUCCUACUUGUCAAUCCCUCCUCAAUCUCAUUCGAUUUCACCCUAUUCUUCCACUUUGUACACUCUUCUUCACCUAAAUUUUACCAAUUUUGUGAAUAUCUUAUUCAUUUAUCAUUUUUUAGGAUAGAGCGAACAAUAAAACGGCCACAAAAGAAAAAAUAGGCUAGCCUAUAUCUCAAAACUUCCUCUAUUUCUUAAUAUCUUUCUUCAAAUCUUAAACAUCAACCUUAAAAAUUUUCAAAUCAUUAUUCCUGGACCGAAAUUCAAGUGACGAUGCAGCGUGUGAUUACAAACCUUAACUUUUGGACAACAUCAUUUUAUCGAAAUUUUUGGAGAGAAAUAGUACACCCAGCCUAAUAGUAAAACUCAGCCUAGUUUUUUUCUCCAAUGUAAAUUGUAUUAUGAUUAUAGUGUUUUAUACAAUAAAUGAAUAAAUUGAAAAAAUAAAAAUCUUCCAAAUCCAAAUACGUUAUGUAAAUUUCAAUUUCCACACAAAAUAAUAUGAAGUGGCCCAUCAUAUUAAAACCGAAAUCAAAUCAAAUCUUUUUUUUUGUACAUCCUUUAAAUUUUUCUUCCGCUUUUCAUCUUCCUUUUACCUGUUCCUCAUCUUUCUCCAUUACUUUUUCUUUCUUUUCUCCUCUUGUUCUGUUUGUAUGCUAGCAUCUCCGUUUGACUUGCUAUUGCCAUCAGGCUGCACAAUUCACAUGCUCACAUCCUGAGUGACGCACUCUGUGUUGUUCGCCUCCAACCCCCGGGGGCGUUGUGUACACAGCUGACAUUGUCAGACGUCCUUCCAGCUGAGAUCAGACCAAAAGGUGGUUUUUUGGGUCUUAAGUCGGGACACACUCUUGUUUUUUGAACAUUGUCUGUCUGGUUAAGCCGGGGUUUACUUUGGGGUUACAGGUAUCAAAGGUGUUUGGCUUGGGGCAAAUUGUAGGGCCCAAAAUGACAAUUCAAGUGAAACAGAAGUGAAGAAAUAAAAAGUGUGGUUGGUGAUACAAAAUUAGCAGUUCAAUUUAUCCUACUAGUAUACAAUUGAUUAUACCUCUGUACCUAGAUAACUAUUCGUAUCAAAUUCAUAUAUGCUAAGAUUUUCAUUCUAAGUUGUUUCGUGCAGAAAUACAUUCAACGGAGAUUUAAGUCUAUUAAAAGGAACAAAACAUUAUCAAGUAUUCCUGAAUAGUGUGUAUACAGAGUCAAUGUGACUGAUGCCAGAGCAGUCGUGGGCUCGAUACCCGUCAAUCGCAUCUAGCAAGAUUUUCUAAUGAUUUCUCAAACACAUCUCAUCACUCAAUAUGUGAGAAGCUUUCUAGUUAUGUUGGUAAAACCCAAAACAAAAUCAUUCUGAAAAAUUAACAGUAUUCACCAUUCCAUGAGAAAUGAAUUUCGUAAAUGAAAUUACAAAUAAUUGAGCAGACAAAUUGCAAUGAAGUUAUGAAUAAAUACAUCAAUAUAGUAGAGCCAAUCCUAGUAAAACACACAAGAUGGGAUAAAAAACUUUAAAAUACAAAAUUUUGCGAAAUGUCAAAUUAUAUAUUAAUUUUUCUGAAAUAGCCUAAUAUUAUUACGAUCUAAUUAGCCGCUACGAUUAUAACUUCCACUUGAAACAAGGAAGUCAUGGAGAAAUUUUAUAAGUGAUUUAAUCCAUGAUAUUAUUCUAUGAAAAAUGAUAGUUGCAGGUGAAUUAUAGUAGGCCUACGGUACUUUUUAUAGUGACAAGACACAAGAUAGUUGAAAUUUGAAAUACAUGAGACCUCUACAAUGUUAUAAUGUCAUGAUUAUAUUCAUUAUCUAUGAUUUAGUAGUUGAAUUAUCCAUGAUUAUAUUCGGUAGUUGACGUCUAUCUAUAAUUAUUGAAGAUUAAAACACCACACCGCAAAAUUAUUACAAGUCUCGUUCUAUCAAACAAAAAUUAUAUUCCAAGUAGGUUACUAUACAGGUAUUAUAACUAUGAGCCAUCAGUUAUAAUAACUAUCAUCUAUCAACACAUAUAUAUUUUGAUGAGUAGUACAAUAUUAUCAAACUAUCAACCAUUUAUUAUAUUAUCAAUUCAAGUACUAUAACUUAAUAUUAUUCAACGUUUAUGAAAUUGAAAACUAUUAAUUUCUCGUAAAUAUUGUUAAUAUGCAAUUCUAGUUGAAAUGUUGGAACUGAAAGAAACCAAUUGCCGCAUAUUCUUUGCUAAUAACAGUCUCACACACUACCUACCAUUUUCUGCAUCAAACAUCCCCGUCAAGAUGACACCACGAGAUAACUGAACUAAUAGUUGCUAAGCUGACAACAAAAUAUUCAAUUUGACUCGGCUUCCAAAAAGACUAGUAAAUAGUUAUUUCCAUCUAGAGCACAAGAUAAUGCCCGAUAAUAACUCGGCAUAAUUAUUAUUUUGUCAGAAUAAAUUAAACUCUUGUAGAAUCAAUUAACAGCCAACCGGUCGAAAGUUGAUUUUAGUUAUUUUUUUCAAGUUGGUUUUUUAAAGUUAGUUGUGCCUCCGUCAAUUUAGUAGCUUCAUCUGUAUAACGGGUUCGUCCACUUAGCACUAUAUCAUUAGACGGCGCUUUUUUGUUUGAUUUUUUAAUAUUUUUUUUCUUCUUCCGACCGAUCGUUGUGACUUUGAUUAUUCAUAAAUAUUUAGUCAGCGUUCAAUUCCAUUAGCUAGCUGCUCUCCUGAAGGAGUCUAUAGAAUAUUCUCGAAGGACUGGGGAUGCUAAUAUCAUGAUAAAACACUAAUUCCAUCAACAGGGGGAGGAAGAAGAGGAAAAAAACGAAAAAAAGA